GGCUCCUUAGUCUAAAGGCUAUGACGCCGGCCUCUCAAGCCGGAGAUGUUGGGUUCAAGUCCCACAGGAGCUA
This 73-nucleotide transfer RNA is filed under the name Lachnospiraceae bacterium. Its description in RNAcentral is "tRNA-Glu". It matches the Rfam family "tRNA". Rfam says of the family: Transfer RNA (tRNA) molecules are approximately 80 nucleotides in length. Their secondary structure includes four short double-helical elements and three loops (D, anti-codon, and T loops). The record is from RNAcentral. Lineage: Bacteria; Bacillati; Bacillota; Clostridia; Lachnospirales; Lachnospiraceae.